Molecule: non-coding RNA, 24 nt
Filed under: Drosophila melanogaster (fruit fly)
Lineage: Eukaryota; Metazoa; Arthropoda; Insecta; Diptera; Drosophilidae
Source: RNAcentral
CAACCUAGAAGUACUGCUGUCACA